CAGUCGCCAGGUAAUACGUAGGGCGCAAGCGUUGUCCGGAAUUAUUGGGCGUAAAGAGCUCGUAGGCGGUCUGUCGCGUCUGGUGUGAAAUCCCGAGGCUCAACCUCGGGCUUGCAUCGGGUACGGGCAGACUAGAGUGCGGUAGGGGAGACUGGAAUUCCUGGUGUAGCGGUGGAAUGCGCAGAUAUCAGGAGGAACACCGAUGGCGAAGGCAGGUCUCUUGGCCGCAACUGACGCUGAGGAGCGAAAGCAUGGGGAGCGAACAGGAUUAGAGACCCCUGUAGUCCCUGUCUCUUAUACA
RNAcentral lists this ribosomal RNA (301 nucleotides) under uncultured bacterium. Its description in RNAcentral is "partial 16S ribosomal RNA". It matches the Rfam family "Bacterial small subunit ribosomal RNA", at positions 512 to 808 of the family's 1533-position model. The record is from RNAcentral.